Molecule: ribosomal RNA, 2606 nt
Filed under: uncultured Nitzschia
Lineage: Eukaryota; Bacillariophyta; Bacillariophyceae; Bacillariales; Bacillariaceae
Description: partial Bacterial large subunit ribosomal RNA
Rfam family: Bacterial large subunit ribosomal RNA
Source: RNAcentral
GUACAGCAUUAAAUGGAUACUUAAGCAUUAAAAUUCUGAUGGACGUUUUAUAACGAAACGUCGUAACGAGUAGAGCAAAGAUACUGAGACUUAUGACUUUCCAUCAAUUCGGAAAAUCGAAUCUUCGUUUAAUAGAAGACUUGUUUAAAGGUUUUUAAACAAAAAAUUUGGUGAAUUGAAUCAUCUAAGUAACCAAAGUUAUAAAAUCAACCGAGAUACUGUUAGUAGUGGCGAACGAAUGCAGGAAAAGACUUAUAAGUUAAAAAUUUUAUUUAAUAUGUAAUAGCCAUAGAAGGUAACCUAACAAUAGGAUAGCCCUGUAAAAUAAAGCUUUUUAAACUUUUGUACAGUAAAAUAGACCACGUCAUGGUCCGUUUGAAUAUUGGGGUCCCAUCCUCAAAGUCUAAAAAUUUUAAUGACUAAUAGUGAAAAGUACCGUGAGGGAAAAGUGAAAAAGAUUUCGUGAAAAUGAAAAGACUUUGAAAUUUAAUGCUAACAAUCUGUCGUAGUUUUAAAAAUGACGGCGUACCUUUUGCAUAAUGGACCAACAAGUUUAUUUUAGUGGCGAGCUUAAAUAUUAAAAUAUGUAGGCGUAAAGAAAUUAAGUUUUAAAAUGCUUUUUAGUCUCUAGAAUAAGACCCGAAACUAAGUGAUCUAAUCAUGAACUGGUUGAAGUUUAGGCGGAAACGCCUUUCGGAGGACCGAACCCGUGUAUGUGGAAAAAUACUGGGAUGAUUUGUGAUUAGGGGUGAAAGGCCAAUCAAACUUAGAGAUAGCUGGUUUUCUGCGAAAUCUAUUUAAGUAGAGCGUUUAAAGAACUUUAUUAAGGGUAGAGCUCUCGAUAAACAAUGGGGGCUUAACGCUUUACUGAGUUUAUUGAAACUUCGAAUAUUAAUUAUAAUGACUUUAAGCAGACAGACUAUGAGUGCUAAGAUUCAUAGUCAAAAGGGAAACAGCCCAGAUUAUUGAUUAAGGCUCUUAAAAGUAAUUAAGUGGAAAAAUUGUGAAAAAAUGUUGACAACCGAAAGGUAGGCUUAGAAGCAGCCAUUCUUUAAAGAAAGCGUAACAGCUCAUUGGUUUAGUUUUUUUGCAUUGAAAAUGUAUAGGAACUAAAAUUACUUGCCGAAAUUGUAAAUUUAAAAGAUAAUGGUAGCAGAACGUUCUGUAAAUUUAAGAAGUUUUAUAGUAAUAUAAAAUGGAAAUAUCAGAAAUGAUAAUGUUGGUAUGAGUAACGACAAACAAUGUGUGAAACAUUGUCGCCUUAAGUUCAAGGUUUCCAAAACAAGGCUAAUCCGUUUUGGUAUUUAAUAUAUUGUUAAUCGGUCUCUAAGGAUAAAAACGAAAGUUUAGUUCUAAUGAGGUAAAAAUUAUUUUUUCUUUUUUAAAAGUGACAAAAUAUGAAUAUUAUUUUUAUUUUAUGGUUUAAAUAAAAGUUUUAUAGUAUUUUCUGGAAAUAGCUUUUAAUAUAAUUAACCGUACCCUAAACCGACACAGGUGAACAAGUUUAGAAAACUAAGGCGCUUGAGAGAAUUAUGUUGAAGGAACUCGGCAAAAUGACUCCGUAACUUCGGAAUAAGGAGUGACUCUGAGAGGGCAACCUCUUAGAGUUGUCACAAAAUCGGGGACAGCGACUGUUUAUUAAAAACACAGGUUUCUGCUAAUUCGUAAGAAGACGUAUUGAAACUGACACCUGCCCAGUGCUGCAAGAUUAAAGGAAAAGGUCCUUUGGCUUUGACCCUAACUCCCAGUAAACGGCGGCUGUAACUCUGACGGUCCUAAGGUAGCGAAAUUCCUUGGCAUUUAAUUGGUGUCCUGCAUGAAUGGUGUAACGACUGUCCCACUGUCUCCAACAUAACCUCAGUGAAAUUGAAUUUUUCGUGAAGAUGCGAAAUUCUCGCGGCUAGACGGAAAGACCCCGUGCACCUUUACUGCAGUUAUACAUUGUAAUGAAAUUUUUUUUAUGUAGCAUAAGUGGGAAGUUGUUAGAAGAUCUCUUUGCGCAAGCAAAUAAGUGAAACAUCCUUGAAAUACCACUUUAAAAAUUUUUUAUUACUUAUUGUUUAAGACAGUGUAUAAUGGGUAGUUUGACUGGGGCGGUCGCCUCCUAAAGAGUAACGGAGGCGUGCAAAGGUAAAUUUGGGUUGAACUAUCACAACUCUAAAGCAUAAUAGUAUAUAUUUGCCUGACUGUAAGAUUGACAAAUCAAGCAGGGACGAAAGUCGGUUAUAGUGAUCCGAUGAUUCUGAGUGGAAAAGGUCAUCGCUCAACGAAUAAAAGGUACGCCGGGGAUAACAGGCUAAUCACCCUCUAGAGACCCUAUCGACGGGGUGGUUUGGCACCUCGAUGUUGGAUUAUCGCAUCCUGGAGCUGUAAGUGGUUCCAAGGGUUUGGCUGUUCGCCAAUGAAGGCGGUACAUGAUCUGAGUUUAGAACGUUGCGAAACAGUUUGGUCCCUAUCUACCGCGAGUGUAAAAAAUUGAGAGGAGUAAACCUUAGUACGAGAGGACCGGGAAAAGUAAAUCCAUGGUGAAUCGAUUGUUAUACCAAUAGCAUAGUCGAGUAGCUACAUUUAUAAUAAAUAAUUACUGAAAGCAUCUAAGUAAGAAA